CAAUAGCGUAUAUUAAAGUUGUUGCAGUUAAAAAGCUCGUAGUUGGAUUUCUGGUUGGAGGGCUCGGUCCGGUCCGCAAGGACUGCGCACCAGUGGCAACUCUGGCCAUCCUUGGGCGGAACGUUUCUGGUAUUAGUUUAUCGGGAUCGGGAAGCUCAUCGUUUACUGUGAAAAAAUUAGAGUGUUUAAAGCAGGCUUAUGCCGCUGAAUACAUUAGCAUGGAAUAAUAAGAUAGGACUUUGGUACUAUUUUGUUGGUUUGCAUACCAAGGUAAUGAUUAAUAGGGAUAGUUGGGGGUAUUCAUAUUUAAUUGUCAGAGGUGAAAUUCUUGGAUUUAUGAAAGAUGAACUUAUGCGAAAGCAUUUACCAAGGAUGUUUUCAUUAA
RNAcentral lists this ribosomal RNA (385 nucleotides) under uncultured eukaryote. RNAcentral describes it as "partial 18S ribosomal RNA". It matches the Rfam family "Eukaryotic small subunit ribosomal RNA", at positions 592 to 976 of the family's 1831-position model. The record is from RNAcentral.